This is a long non-coding RNA of Venturia canescens, 557 nucleotides long. RefSeq lists it as uncharacterized. The transcript has 2 exons. The record is from RefSeq and is a predicted model, not a curated record. Lineage: Eukaryota; Metazoa; Arthropoda; Insecta; Hymenoptera; Ichneumonidae.
UUCUAUCAUCUUUCAUGUGCACUAACCUAACACUAACUACAAACAGCUGAUCUAGCUGAUCUCUUCGUAACAUACCAAUUAACGUCAGCAAAUACUCCAACAGAAUUGUAAUAAGGUCCUCUGAUAAAGCGAAAAAUAUCAGAUUUCAAAAAUGAUGAUCGAUCACUCCUUGGUGCUGGCAGUUUUUAUCACCAUGCACGCAGUUGUGCUGUGGAAAACAGAUUUUUUCAACGGAGAAAUGGACAUAUUAGGGCCAUAUCCUCGUAGAGGCCCCCACCGUAAACCCAAGGAACUAAUUGAGAAAAAUAAAUAGUUGAAGCUGGUCGACCAUCGUAGAAAAAAAAUGAGCAGAUGUUUGCAGCCUCUCAACCAAGAGUGAUUAAUUCUAAGUUUUCUUGAUGAUACGUUUGAAGAAACGAGAGGGAACCGGUACAGUGUCUGUCGAGUGAUGAAUAUGGAUUUAUUAACAACGACUUGUGUCAACAAAUUGUGGGCCGUUGAGUGUAAAAAAUAAAAAGAAGAACAGCUCAAUCGAGUUGCUUUCUUGAAAUAGCGUU